UUAAUAAGGCAGUUUUUUGUUGUUGGUCUUUUGUAUAAAGUUUAAUUUUAUACAAAAGACCAACAACCAACAAUUGUAUUUUAGUGUGUCGUGAGUUUAUGAAGAUAAAGACUGUAAAGAUUGCACAAAGUAGUAGUUGCAAUAAUGAGCUUAAACUGCACAUCAUUUACAAGUAAAAAGAUAUUUAUUAAAAAAGAUUUCUAAAAUAAGAGAAAAUGUCUAUCCACAGGCAACACUCUCUAAAGAACACAAGGGGAGGCUCUCAGCGUACUGAAACACCCAUGUAAGACCAUAACAUCAUCUGCUGAGAUCAUCAGCACACUUAUACUGUGUUUUUUUAAAGGUGCUCUAUGGAGUUUUGGUAGAGAAAUGUGAAAGUUGGAGAAAUGUACAGAUUCUGUGGUAUGUGUUCAUUACUCUAUAUGCUUCUAUAGAAGUACAAUGUGACAGAGCAAAGCAGAGAGAUGAUCACCAAUGACCAAAGUGACUACAACAACAGCAAAGACAGGAAAUGUGGAAAGCCUAAAUAAGUGGGUGGGCAACAGGAGGUACCUGAGAAAUUAGUUUAAAAAGACAUUUAAUGCAGAUAUGUUGAGAUAAGAAGAACAAAUAUGUUUAAAUAUCUGAGUACUUUUCACAUUGUGAAUUAAGUCAAAGGUUUCCAUGCAGUGGCUCAUUUUUCUUCUGCUAAUUAAAACGUGCAGUAGAUCUGAUCAAACUCGUAGCUCUCUCCUUCAUCACUCGUAUGACUAUCAUUACAAGCUCCAAUGUUUUGUCAGUGGUUAUAAUGCCACUGAUGGGACUCCAAAGCCCCCUGCAGUAACAGACGGGUGAUGUCACUCUGGCUUAGUCCAUUCAUUCUUACAGGCUGUGGUUGCACACCAGAGAAAAAUUAGAUACAUUGAAAACCAACAUUUUAAACAUCUAAUCCACAUUCUAUAUUUGACCUAGCCUCCAGUGACUCCGGUGACUCCAUCGGUCCACCCCAUGUUGAGCCUGGUGUAUCUUGGAUGAUGGUGUUCAGUCCAGCCAUCACGGUCCUCUCCACCUUCCUGUGCCUGACUUUUGUUUAUCUCUGCAGUCAGAAUGCAGAUGAAAAAGAUCAAAUGACUGAGAGAAGACCUGACAUGGGAGAGGAAAGUACAGUGAAUCAGGAUGAAGACGCAUGUUUCACCAGAGUUGUGUUCUUGGUUGCAGAUGGACAGAACAAAUAGAUUGGCUUUGUCUGAGCGGACAUCACACAAGCUCCACUUCAAACGUCUCACAAAGUCUUUAGAGUCCGAGUUUAAAGACCUGUUAUAUUUGUACACAGUGAUGAUGCGUUUUGUGGGCGGAGUCAAAAUGGUGUCAGAAAGUCAGCUAGUGGUGUUGAAUUAACUGUUUGUUUGUUUGUUUUCUGGCUUCUUGCUUUCACUUGAUAAGACGGUGUAUAGAGUAGUAAACAGGAAAGAGAGAGGGGGGAAUAACGUGGUAAUGGAACCACAGGCCGGACCUGAACCACCCGCCCAGAGGACCAGAGCUUCCAAACAUUCGGGGCAACCCAACCACCAGGUCAGCUGUGCUCAUGAAUUAACAAUUGGU
Molecule: non-coding RNA, 1581 nt
Organism: Labrus bergylta (ballan wrasse)
Lineage: Eukaryota; Metazoa; Chordata; Actinopteri; Labriformes; Labridae
Source: RefSeq, a predicted model, not a curated record